UAUUCUUAGUGAGCAUUGCUCACAGUACCUCUUGUUUUAACAGGUUUUUUUUUUUUUUACAAUAACUAUCGGAAAAGACUAACAAAAUUUAUGUUCCUAUCAUGCAUAAAUCUAAAUAAAUCAUUGAUUUUGCAAAAUCUGAUGACAUUAUAGGAGGGUGGAAUUACUUUAAGUUAUGUUUAGUGCUGUGUGUAUAUAAACAUGCACUCAUAUAAUUAUAUCUUCCCUCUUCCAGGGGGAGACAUAUUGUAUUUGUACUUUCUGUCCGUCCUUCCUUCUGUCACAAAAUCUUGUGAACGCUUCUCCACCUAUAUGGCUUAUCAGAUAGACUUGAAACUUUGUACAAUGCUUCAUUGUCAUUUGCAGAUGUGAAUAUUGUUGGGACGGGAGGAUCCAAUUGUUUUCCUAAGAGUUAUAGUGGAUCUAAGAGGGGUGGAAGAUGUAAAAUAGCUUAUGAACUCUUCUCCUCCCAUAUGGCUUAUUGGAUAGACUUGAAACUUUGUACAAUGCUUAAUUGUCAUUUGUAGAUGUGCAUAUUGUCGGAAUGAGAGGAUCCAAAGUUUUUCCUAAAAGAUAUAGUGGAUCUAAAAGGGGUGGAGGAUGUUAAAAUACCUUGUGAACACUUCUCCUAUAUGGCUUAUCUGAUAGACUUGAGAAUUUGUACAAUGCUUCAAUGCCAUUUGUAGAUGUGCAAGUUGUAGGGACAGGAGGAUCCAAUUGCUAUCCUUAAAGUUAAAGUGGAUCUGAGGGGUGUAGGGUAUAAAAUAGUUUGUGAACGCUUCUCCUCCUAUAUGGCUUAUCAGAGUUCAUGUCUAUCUUCCUGCCCAUGCUUUCUCCUCCAUACUAUUCAAUACAUUAAGGGGGAUGUUUCCUAUAUUUUACGAAUUAAUUGGUUGAUUGACAACAAACUUGGUACACUUGUACAGCAUAUAUAAGGAGUAGAUGACCCCUAUUGAUUCUUAGGUCACAUGGUCAGUCCACUCUUGACAUAGGAAGAUAUUGUCUGCUCAAUAUUUUGAAUUGGUGAUACUACUAUCAAUUAAAUGAGGCACGGGUAUAACCCUUUCAAUUUUGCAACUUGGGGGGCAUAUGUGUUUUAGAAACAUCUCUUGUGUUGUAUUAUAUGAAUUACAGGUUUUAGUGUGCUCAGUUUAGAGAAUAGCAUAAAAGUAUUUGAUAAUUAAAUAUCUUGCAGAUUGGCAGUUUACUCCAUGCACCGACAGGAAUGAUAAACUGUGAUAUUCGUAAAUGGAACUGGGACACGUUCUAAAUAUACUCAGGGACAGAAUGAUGUGCAGCAAGGCUCGUCAUGGAAUGGCAGCUCACUACCUGCCCCUAGUGAUGUUAAAAGAGGCCAUUGUUCUCAUUUGUUCCAAAACAGGAAUGGCAUAUGAGGAGGCCAACAGAAGAUGCACCUCCACUGAGUGUGCACUCACAAAACGAAUAAAUUAUUAUUAUUUCUUUUGUUUGUAAUUGUAUAUUGUCAACAAGGUCAAAGGCACUUGAUCCGAUGCCAAACUUUUGCAUUUCUUUUGCUUUGUGGUAAAUUUUCUUCAGUAACAUUAACAUUGUUUAAAUUGUUUUCUUUGGAGAGUAUACAUGUACACAUGGAUUAUUUGUAUAUUAGAAUUAUAGCAUUGUUUAAUUCAACUCAUUCUUAUCAUAGAGAGGUUAUUAUAUACUGUAGGUAACGACUUGUAAAGGGUAUACUGUUUUAACUCACGUGCAAGGCAAGGCAGUAUUAUGAAACUCUGUAGUUGAUAAGGACAUAUAUCACAUAUCGAUAUGCAUAUUUACAGGAAACUCUGAUGUAUUUUAAAUCUGAACGUUAAUUUAAAAGUGGGGAGAAAUAGCAUUGGAUGAAAAAAGACACAUAUGAAGAAAAUUAUUCCAUACGUAAAUGCUUUUAAGCUCACUUGAGCUGAAAGCUCAAGUGAGCUUUUCUGAUCGCCUGUUGUUCAUUGUCUGUCCGUGAUUAAACAUUUUAUAUUUUCUCCAGAAGCACUGGGCCAAUAAUAACCAAACUUAGCCAAAAGUAUCCUUGGGUAAAGGGCUUUCGAGUUUGUUCAAAUGAAGGGCCAUGCCCUCUUCAAAGGGGAGAUGAUCACAAAAAUAGGGUGGGUCAUUUAAUUUUUUUUUUAUCAAGAACCACUGGGCCGGAAGAGCUGAAAUGUACAUGAAAGCUUCCUGACAUAGUACAGAUUCAAGUUUAUUGAAAUCAUGGCCUCCAGGGGUUGUAUGGGGCCACAAUAGAGAAUCAAAGUUUUACAUACAAUUAUUCAGGAAAAAUCUUUCAAUAUGAGCCAAGGUGGCUCAGGUGAGCGAUAUGGCCCAUGGGCCUCUUGUUCAACAUAUAGAAUAAAUAGUUAUGUUGUAUUUCCCAUGGAACAUUGAAACGUUUAAUGCGUUUACCAAUUAAUCACUGAAAGAAAGAUAAAAUUGUUGUUUCAUAUGUUUUAUGAAAACUUAAAGAUGUUUCAUUUCUUUUCAUGAAAGACCCCUUAAUUACCCAGUAAUAUAUAAUCAAUUCUUAACAGAUUAUGUAAAUUUGAUUUAUAUUAAGGAUGUUUGAUCUGAUUACCCAUCAUUAUCAAUCUGUCUAAUAUAGCCAUCAUGUGUUACUAUUGCUACGCAAUCUUGGAGCAUGAGGUAGAAUGCGAACCAGCUCUUUCAUAAGUACAUGUAUCUGGAAAAUAUUUCAAUGUCAAAGGUUACAACAAUGUAAUAAUGUAAUCAUUGUAUGUCUAAGGUCUUGAUAAUAAAACUGUUAUCUGUUCAA
Long non-coding RNA from Ostrea edulis (European flat oyster), 2779 nucleotides. RefSeq lists it as uncharacterized. Lineage: Eukaryota; Metazoa; Mollusca; Bivalvia; Ostreida; Ostreidae. The transcript is spliced from 3 exons. The record is from RefSeq and is a predicted model, not a curated record.